This is a non-coding RNA of Kogia breviceps (pygmy sperm whale), 1319 nucleotides long. The record is from RefSeq and is a predicted model, not a curated record. Lineage: Eukaryota; Metazoa; Chordata; Mammalia; Artiodactyla; Physeteridae.
UAUAUUUAACAUAGCACCUGACACUUAGCAAAUUCUCAAAACCACAGGCUUUUAAAAAUUAUUAUUAUUUAUAUUUAAGGUUAACUGACAACCUGAGAUAGCCAAACUACACCCCAGGAGCCAAAUCCAGCCUGCCACCUGUUUUUGGAUAACCUGAUGCGACUCUGAUGACUGGCAUUCCAGCAGCCAUUUUGGACCAUGAAGUGAUCCAUGGUGGAGAAGAAAGACAGAAGGAAGUAGGAUCCCUGAUGAUCUUCUGGAACCACCCUAUCUCUAAUCUGAUCAGGCUGGAGGUCGACCCUGAGCUCCUGUGGUGGGAGCUCUGAGUCCAAACCACUGGACUAACAGACAAUCUCAGACCCCAGAGAAUAUCAAUCGUAGUGAGGCCUCCCACAGGUCCUCCUCUCAGCACCAAGACCCAGCUCUAUCCAACUGCCUGCAAACUCCAGUGCUGGACGUCUCAGGCCAAACAACCAGUAAGACAGGAAUACAGCACCACCCAUCAAAAAAAAAAGAAAAAGAAACGACAAAAAAAAUAUGUUACAGAUGAAGGAGCAAGGUAAAAACCUGCAAGACCAAAUAAAUGAAGAUGAAAUAGACAACCUACCUGAAAAAGAAUUCAGAGUGAUGAUAGUAAAGAUGAUCCAAUAUCUCAGAAACAGAAUGGAGAGAAUACAAGAAACAUUUAACAAGGAUCUAGAAGAACUAAAGAGCAAACAAACAGUGAUGAACAACACAAUUAUUGACAUUAAAAAUACUCUAGAAGGAAUCAAUAACAGAAUAACUGAGCAAGAAGAAUGGAUAAGAGAGCUGGAAAAUAAAAUGGUGGAAAUAACUGCCCGGGAGCAGAACAAAGAAAAAAGAAUGAAAGGAAUUGAGGACAGUCUCAGAGACCUCUGGGACAACAUUAAAUGCACCAACAUUUGAAAUUAUAGGGGUCCCAGAAGAAGAAGAGAAAAAGAAAGGGUCUGAGAAAAUAUUUGAAGAGAUUAUAGUCAAAAACUUCCCUAAUAUGGGAAAGGAAAUAGUCAAUCAAGUUCAGGAAGCACAGAGAGUACCAUACAGGAUAAACCCAAAGAGAAACACGCCAAGACACAUAUUAAUCAAACUAUCAAAAAUUAAAUACAAAGAAAAAAUAUUAAAAGCAGCAAGGGAAAAGCAACAAAUAACAUACAAGGGAAUCCCCAUAAGGUUAACAGCUGAUCUUUCAGCAGAAACUCUGCAAGUCAGAAGGGAGUGACAGGACAUAUUUAAAGUGAUGAAAGGGAAAAACCUACAACCAAGAUUACUCUACCCAACAAGGAUCUCAUUCAGAUUCG